This 87-nucleotide transfer RNA is filed under the name Pseudomonas aeruginosa. RNAcentral describes it as "tRNA-Leu". It matches the Rfam family "tRNA". Rfam says of the family: Transfer RNA (tRNA) molecules are approximately 80 nucleotides in length. Lineage: Bacteria; Pseudomonadati; Pseudomonadota; Gammaproteobacteria; Pseudomonadales; Pseudomonadaceae. RNAcentral also lists the same sequence under 357 other names. The record is from RNAcentral.
GCCCGGAUGGCGAAACUGGUAGACGCAUCGGACUUAAAAUCCGCCGGGGGCAACCCCAUGCCGGUUCGAUUCCGGCUCCGGGCACCA